GGGCGUACACACACGCUACAAUGGGAAGGGACGAAUAGGUUGCGAAGCCGCGAGGUGGAGCCAAUCCAGCAAAACUUACCCUCCAGUUCAGAUUGCAGGCUGCAACUCGCCUGCAUGAAGUUGGAGUUGCUAGUAAACGCAGGUCAGCCAUACUGCGUUGAAUACGUUCCCGGGGCUU
This 178-nucleotide ribosomal RNA is filed under the name uncultured Anaerolineaceae bacterium. RNAcentral describes it as "partial 16S ribosomal RNA". It matches the Rfam family "Bacterial small subunit ribosomal RNA", at positions 1210 to 1382 of the family's 1533-position model. The record is from RNAcentral. Lineage: Bacteria; Bacillati; Chloroflexota; Anaerolineae; Anaerolineales; Anaerolineaceae.